AGUGGCUGGUUUUGGGGAGGGAUAAGGUUGGUGUGUGUGUUGAUUUGUGAGUUUUGUCAAAAGCAUGCAAGUGUAUGUGAAAGGAUAUGUUUAUGAAAUAAUUCAAUCACAAUUAUUUCAAUCAUCAUUUAUACAAAUAUCUAAUACUUUAAAUACAUGAUAAAUCAUUUAAAAAACAUAUCACAUAAACUUUAUGAAAUAAAUCAAAACUUUGAAUCAAAACACCAAACCUUUUUGUUCU
Molecule: long non-coding RNA, 241 nt
Filed under: Malus domestica (apple)
Lineage: Eukaryota; Viridiplantae; Streptophyta; Magnoliopsida; Rosales; Rosaceae
Description: long non-coding RNA (MDOM_LNC008567)
Source: RNAcentral